This 328-nucleotide ribosomal RNA is filed under the name uncultured eukaryote. Its description in RNAcentral is "partial 18S ribosomal RNA". It matches the Rfam family "Eukaryotic small subunit ribosomal RNA", at positions 1470 to 1796 of the family's 1831-position model. The record is from RNAcentral.
CCCUUAGAUGUCCGGGGCUGCACGCGCGCUACACUGAAGGAAUCAGCGUGCUAAAACCAUUGUCGAAAGGCAUUGGUAAACCCAUUAAAAUCCUACGUGAUUGGGAUCGGGAAUUGCAAUUAUUUCCCUUGAACGAGGAAUUCCCAGUAAGUGUGGGUCAUAAGCUCGCGUUGAUUACGUCCCUGCCCUUUGUACACACCGCCCGUCGCUGCCCGGGACUGAGCCGUUUCGAGAAAAGCGGGGACUGCUGCUGUCGGGGCUUUCGGGCCCUGGCUUCGGUGGAAACCGCUUUAAUCGCAGUGGCUUGAACCGGGCAAAAGUCGUAACA